RNAcentral lists this ribosomal RNA (641 nucleotides) under uncultured bacterium. RNAcentral describes it as "bacterial SSU rRNA". It matches the Rfam family "Bacterial small subunit ribosomal RNA", at positions 232 to 885 of the family's 1533-position model. The record is from RNAcentral.
CGCGGCCUAUCAGCUUGUUGGUAAGGUAAUGGCUUACCAAGGCUAUGACGGGUAACUGGUCUGAGAGGAUGAUCAGUCGCGAUGGGACUGAGACACGGCCCAUACUCCUACGGGAGGCAGCAGUAAGGAAUCUUCCACAAUGGACGAAAGUCUGAUGGAGCAACACCGCGUGGUUGAUGAAGCCCCUUGGGGCGUAAAAACCUUUUCUGAGGGAAGAAUUCUGACGGUACCUCAGGAAUAAGCACCGGCUAACUCCGUGCCAGCAGCCGCGGUAAUACGUAGGGGGCAAGCGUUGUCCGGAUUCAUUGGGCGUAAAGAGCUCGUAGGCGGCUUGGCAAGUCGGUCGUGAAAUACCGAGGCUCAACCUCGGAACGCCGAUCGAAACUGCCAUGGCUAGGGUCCGGUAGAGGAGAGUGGAAUUCCCGGUGUAGCGGUGAAAUGCGCAGAUAUCGGGAGGAACACCAGUAGCGAAGGCGGCUCUCUGGGCCGGUACCGACGCUGAGGAGCGAAAGCGUGGGGAGCAAACAGGAUUAGAUACCCUGGUAGUCCACGCCGUAAACGUUGGGUACUAGGUGUGGCGGGUUCAUCAAUGCCCGCCGUACCGAAGCUAACGCAUUAAGUACCCCGCCUGGGGAGUACGG